This 377-nucleotide ribosomal RNA is filed under the name uncultured bacterium. RNAcentral describes it as "bacterial SSU rRNA". It matches the Rfam family "Bacterial small subunit ribosomal RNA", at positions 434 to 793 of the family's 1533-position model. The record is from RNAcentral.
CAGUAGGGAGGAAGGUAGUGUAGUUAACACCUGCACUAUUUGACGUUACCUACAGAAGAAGCACCGGCUAACUCCGUGCCAGCAGCCGCGGUAAUACGGAGGGUGCGAGCGUUAAUCGGAAGUUACUGGGCGUAAAGACGCAUGCAGGCGGCCGUGUUAAGUCAGAUGUGAAAGACCCGGGGCGUUAACCUCGGAAUUGCAUUUGUAAACUAGGCAGGCUAGAGUCUUGUAGAGGGGGGUAGGAAGUUUCUAGGUGUAGCGGUGAAAUAGCGUAGAGAUCUGAAGGAAUACCAGUGGCGAAGGCGGCCCCCUCGGACAAAGACUGACGCUCAGAUGCGAAAGCGUGGGGAGCAAACAGGAUUAGAUACCCCUGGUAG